This 119-nucleotide ribosomal RNA is filed under the name Nelumbo nucifera (sacred lotus). Lineage: Eukaryota; Viridiplantae; Streptophyta; Magnoliopsida; Proteales; Nelumbonaceae. The record is from RNAcentral.
AUGAUAAAUCAUACUAGUACUAAUGCACUAAAUCUCAUCAGAAUUCUGAAGUUAAAUGUACUUGGGCGAGAAUAAUACUAAGAUGAAUGACUUCCUGAAAAUUCCUCAUGUUGCACACC